Molecule: ribosomal RNA, 263 nt
Filed under: uncultured bacterium
Lineage: Bacteria
Description: partial 16S ribosomal RNA
Rfam family: Bacterial small subunit ribosomal RNA
Source: RNAcentral
GUCCACGCUGUAAACGAUGUCGACUUGGAGGUUGUUCCCUUGAGGAGUGGCUUCCGGAGCUAACGCGUUAAGUCGACCGCCUGGGGAGUACGGCCGCAAGGUUAAAACUCAAAUGAAUUGACGGGGGCCCGCACAAGCGGUGGAGCAUGUGGUUUAAUUCGAUGCAACGCGAAGAACCUUACCUACUCUUGACAUCCACGGAACUUAGCAGAGAUGCUUUGGUGCCUUCGGGAACCGUGAGACAGGUGCUGCAUGGCUGUCGU